Molecule: ribosomal RNA, 816 nt
Filed under: uncultured marine microorganism
Description: bacterial SSU rRNA
Rfam family: Bacterial small subunit ribosomal RNA
Source: RNAcentral
AGAGUUUGAUCAUGGCUCAGAUUGAACGCUGGCGGCAGGCCUAACACAUGCAAGUCGAGCGGUAGAGAGGUGCUUGCACCUCUUGAGAGCGGCGGACGGGUGAGUAAUACCUAGGAAUCUGCCUGAUAGUGGGGGAUAACGUUCGGAAACGGACGCUAAUACCGCAUACGUCCUACGGGAGAAAGCAGGGGACCUUCGGGCCUUGCGCUGUCAGAUGAGCCUAGGUCGGAUUAGCUAGUUGGUGAGGUAAUGGCUCACCAAGGCUACGAUCCGUAACUGGUCUGAGAGGAUGAUCAGUCACACUGGAACUGAGACACGGUCCAGACUCCUACGGGAGGCAGCAGUGGGGAAUAUUGGACAAUGGGCGAAAGCCUGAUCCAGCCAUGCCGCGUGUGUGAAGAAGGUCUUCGGAUUGUAAAGCACUUUAAGUUGGGAGGAAGGGCAUUAACCUAAUACGUUAGUGUUUUGACGUUACCGACAGAAUAAGCACCGGCUAACUCUGUGCCAGCAGCCGCGGUAAUACAGAGGGUGCAAGCGUUAAUCGGAAUUACUGGGCGUAAAGCGCGCGUAGGUGGUUUGUUAAGUUGAAUGUGAAAUCCCCGGGCUCAACCUGGGAACUGCAUCCAAAACUGGCAAGCUAGAGUAUGGUAGAGGGUAGUGGAAUUUCCUGUGUAGCGGUGAAAUGCGUAGAUAUAGGAAGGAACACCAGUGGCGAAGGCGACUACCUGGACUGAUACUGACACUGAGGUGCGAAAGCGUGGGGAGCAAACAGGAUUAGAUACCCUGGUAGUCCACGCCGUAAACGAUGUCAACUAG